GGGGCUGACUGGUUUUGACAGCAAGAUGAGGGGAUAUGUAAGCACGUCGAGGGUUGAAGUUCACCUCGCAAAUCCGAAUUUCACAAUUGUAACUGGCGAAACAUCUUACGCUCUUGCAGCCUAAUCAUCCGAUAGGAGGUUAAGCUUAAUUCCGUACUAGGUACGUGAACAAGACGUUUCCGACACAGGUUUGUCUGACCCCUGUGUUAAUGGAGGCGUGGUUAAUGACAGAAUAGAAUGGUUCGCGCUUCGAUAACCAUUCGAAACUUAAGAAGAUAAGUCUUGAAUUGGCUGCCUUUGGCCUGUUUAAGAUCGAAAAUCAAUCAAUAGGCUAAGCGCGUAGAAAGCCUAUUCUUUCCUUGUUUGGACGUGGGUUCGAAUCCCACCAGCUCCACUA
This 397-nucleotide transfer-messenger RNA is filed under the name Flavobacteriales bacterium. It matches the Rfam family "transfer-messenger RNA". From Rfam's summary of the family: Bacterial tmRNA, also known as 10Sa RNA or SsrA, is named for its dual tRNA and mRNA-like properties. Its role is to liberate the mRNA from a stalled ribosome. RNAcentral also lists the same sequence under 1 other name. Lineage: Bacteria; Pseudomonadati; Bacteroidota; Flavobacteriia; Flavobacteriales. The record is from RNAcentral.